Non-coding RNA from Corynebacterium atypicum, 3113 nucleotides. The record is from Rfam. NCBI's taxonomy places the organism in Bacteria, Bacillati, Actinomycetota, Actinomycetes, Mycobacteriales, Corynebacteriaceae.
GUGUGUGUUUUUUUGGGCACACGGUGGAUGCCUUGGGCAUGGUAAGCCGAUGAAGGACGUGUGAGUCUGCGUUAAUCCUCGGGGAGUUGGCAACUGAGCGUUGAUCCGAGGGUGUCCGAAUGGGGUAACCUGGCCGUCUGUGUGGCGGUGACCUGGUGGUGAAUGUAUAGCCAUCAUGGGGGCUAGGCUGGGGAAGUGAAACAUCUUAGUACCUGGUGUGAGAAGAAAACAAUUGUGAUUCUGCUAGUAGCGGCGAGCGAACGUGGAUUGUGGCUAAACCGGCAUGCGUGUAUAACUGUUGAAGGGGUUGCGGUGUCGGUGUUGUGGGGGAUGCGUGUGUGGGUGCUUCAACUGCCUGCGUGCUGCGUGUGUGUGUAAGCGGAACUGGUGUGGAGUCGCCGACCGGAGUAGGUGAGAGUCCUGUACGUGAAUGCGUGUGCAUGUGGUUAGCGUGUUUUCCCGAGUAGCAGCGGGCUCGUGGAAUCUGCUGUGAAUCUGCCGGGACCACCCGGUAAGCCUUAUUACUUAUCAUGAACGAUAGUGGAUAGUACCGUGAGGGAAUGGUGAAAAGUACCCCGGGAGGGGAGUGAAAGAGUUCCUGAAACCGUGUGCUUGCAAGCCGUCAGAGCCUUGUUUGUGGGGUGAUGGCGUGCCUUUUGAAGAAUGAGCCUGCGAGUUAGCGGCAUGUUGCGAGGUUAACCUGUGUUGUGGGGUAGCCGUAGCGAAAGCGAGUCUUUGUGGGCGUUGUAGUAGCGUGUCCUAGACCCGAAGCGGGGUGAUCUACCCAUGGCCAGUGUGAAGCGAUGGUAAGACGUCGUGGAGGCGCGAACCCACUUAGGUUGAAAACUGAGGGGAUGAGUUGUGGGUAGGGGUGAAAGGCCAAUCAAACUCCGUGAUAGCUGGUUCUCCCCGAAAUGCAUUUAGGUGCAGCGUCGCAUGUGAGCACCCUGGAGGUAGAGCUACUGGUUGGUUGAGCGGGAUUUGUCGUCUUAGCAACAUCAGCCAAACUCCGAAUGCCGGUGGUGUGGUGUGUGGCAGUGAGACUGUGGGGGAUAAGCUCCAUUGGUCGAGAGGGAAACAGCCCAGAUCGUUGGUUAAGGCCCCUAAGGGUAUGCUGAGUGGAAAAGGAUGUGGGAUCGCUUGGACAGCCAGGAGGUUGGCUUAGAAGCAGCCAUCCUUGAAAGAGUGCGUAAUAGCUCACUGGUCGAGUGGUCCUGCGCCGACAAUGUAGUGGGGCUGAAGCAUACCGCCGAAACCGCGGCGAUGGUCGCAUCCUUUUGUGGGGUGUGGUUGUUGGGUAGGGGAGCGUCGUGUUCGCCGGUGAAGCAUCAUGGUGAUGUGGUGUGGAGGGGAUGCGAGUGAGAAUGCAGGCAUGAGUAACGUUUGUAAGGUGAGAAUCCUUACCGCCGUAUGACCAAGGGUUCCUGGGUGAAGUUCGUCUUCCCAGGGUGAGUCGGGUCCUAAGGCGAGGCCGACAGGCGUAGUCGAUGGUAAACGGGUUGAUAUUCCCGUACCUUCACGCAUGCGCCCAGUAGCGAAGCGGGGAUACUAACCUGCCCGCGCAUCAUGUUUUGUCAUGCUGCCAUCUUUUUAGGUGGUGGUGUGUUGUGGUGUGUGGUGUUGGGGGCCUGAUCCGUGGUAGUUAAGUGAUGGGGUGACGCAGUAGGGUAGCCACGCCGUGGAGUGGAUUGCACGGUGUAAGCGGUAAGGCGGGUCUGCUAGGUAAAUCCGGUGGGCUUUGAACGCUAAGCCGUGAUGCGUAGGCGCUUGUGUGGUGUUGAUGGUGGUGUGCUUGUGCUGUCGAGAAAAGCCUCUAGCGAGUGUGUGUGGAGCCCGUACCCGAAACCGACACUGGUGGUCGAGUAGAGGAUACUUAGGCGUUCGGGUGAACUGUAGUUAAGGAACUCGGCAAAUUGCCCCCGUACCUUCGGUAGAUGGGGGGCCACCCGUUGUGGGUGGUCGCAGUGACAAGAGGGAAGCGACUGUUUAUUAAAAACAUAGGUCYGUGCGAAGACGUGAAGUUGAUGUAUACGGACUGACGCCUGCCCGGUGCUGGAAGGUUAAGAGGACCUGUUAGAUGCUUUUUUGGGUGUCGAAGCGGAGAAUUUAAGCCCCAGUAAACGGCGGUGGUAACUAUAACCAUCCUAAGGUAGCGAAAUUCCUUGUCGGGUAAGUUCCGACCUGCACGAAUGGCGUAACGACUUCCCUGCUGUCUCAACUACAGGCCCGGUGAAAUUGCAGUACGAGUAAAGAUGCUCGUUACGCGCGGCAGGACGAAAAGACCCCGGGACCUUCACUAUAGCUUGGUAUUGGUGUCUGGUUCGGUUUGUGUAGUAUAGGUGGGAGACGUUGAGGCCAUAUCGCUAGGUGUGGUGGAGUCGUAAGGUGAAAUACCACUCUGAUCGGAUUGGCCAUCUUUUUAACCUUGGCCCAUGAUCUGGGUUGGGGACAGUGCCUGGUGGGUAGUUUAACUGGGGCGGUUGCCUCCUAAAUGGUAACGGAGGCGCCCAAAGGUUCCCUCGGCCUGGUUGGUAAUCAGGUUUUUGAGUGUAAGUGCAUAAGGGAGCUUGACUGUGAGAGGGACGUCUCGAGCAGGAACGAAAGUUGGGACUAGUGAUCCGGCAUCUACUUGUGGUUGUGGUGUCGCUCAACGGAUAAAAGGUACCCCGGGGAUAACAGGCUGAUCUUCCCCAAGAGUUCAUAUCGACGGGAUGGUUUGGCACCUCGAUGUCGGCUCGUCGCAUCCUGGGGCUGGAGCAGGUCCCAAGGGUUGGGCUGUUCGCCCAUUAAAGCGGCACGCGAGCUGGGUUUAGAACGUCGUGAGACAGUUCGGUCUCUAUCCGCCGCGCGCGUGGAAACUUGAUGGAAGGCUGUCCCUAGUACGAGAGGACCGGGACGGACGUACCUCUGGUGUGCCAGUUGUUGUGCCUGCGGCAUGGCUGGUUGGCUACGUACGGUGUGGAUAACCGCUGAAAGCAUCUAAGCGGGAAGCUUGUUUCAAGAUGAGGUUUCUGUAUCAGGGCCCCUGRAGAUGACGGGGUUGAUAGGCCAGUGUUGUAAGCAUUGUGAGGUGUUGAGGCGACUGGUACUAAUAGCCCGACUCAUACACAUGG